AUUGAACGCUGGCGGCAGGCCUAACACAUGCGAGUCGAGCGGAUGAAGGGAGCUUGCUCCUGGAUUCAGCGGCGGACGGGUGAGUAAUGCCUAGGAAUCUGCCUGGUAGUGGGGGAUAACGUCCGGAAACGGGCGCUAAUACCGCAUACGUCCUGAGGGAGAAAGUGGGGGAUCUUCGGACCUCACGCUAUCAGAUGAGCCUAGGUCGGAUUAGCUAGUUGGUGGGGUAAAGGCCUACCAAGGCGACGAUCCGUAACUGGUCUGAGAGGAUGAUCAGUCACACUGGAAAUGAAACACGGUCCAGACCCCUACGGGAGGCAGCAGUGGGGAAUUUUGGAAAAGGGGGGAAAGCCUGAUCCCGCCAUGCCGGGGGUGUGAAGAAGGUCUUCGGUUUGUAAAGCACUUUAAGUUGGGAGGAAGGGCAGUAAGUUAAUACCUUGCUGUUUUGACGUUACCAACAAAAUAAGCACCGGCUAACUUCGU
This 483-nucleotide ribosomal RNA is filed under the name uncultured bacterium. RNAcentral describes it as "partial 16S ribosomal RNA". It matches the Rfam family "Bacterial small subunit ribosomal RNA", at positions 30 to 506 of the family's 1533-position model. The record is from RNAcentral.